AUGCCGGCGACGGCGGGGCGCGUUCGCAUGCCGGCGAACAACCGCGUGCACAGCAGCGCGGCGCUGCAGACGCACGGCAUCUGGCAGAGCGCCAUCGGCUACGACCCCUACGCCCCCGAGAACAACAAGCAGCAGGCCCCCUCCUCCUCCGUCUCCGCCAACGCCGCAGCCGCCGCAGCCAACGCCGCCGCCGAAGCCGCCGCGCCUCCCUCCUCUGACCCCGGCGCCUCCUCGGAGAACGCCUACACCAGCUUCCAGGGCCUCCUCGCGCUCGCCCGCGUCACCGGAUCCAACUCCGACGAGACCCGGGGCGCCUGCAAGAAGUGCGGCCGUGUUGGCCAUCUCACCUUCCAGUGCCGCAACUUCCUUUCUGUCAAGGAGCUUGCCAUGGACGACGACAUCCAAGCUGGCAUGCUGUCCGCCGCGCAUGCAAAGGCCAAGUUCGAGGAGAUCACGAAGAAAGCCUCUGGUGCCAGAGACGCUGACGAGGAGGGUUCUGACGAGGAAGAUGAGGAUGAGAUUGACAGCGAUUCCUCUGAUUCCGAUAUUGAUCCCGAGCUGGAGAAGAUAAUUGCUGAACGGGAGCGUGCCAAGAGCCGUGGAGGGAAGCGGUCAGGGGAGCAGGACAAGAAGACAAGCCGCCAUAAGAGCAAGAGCAGGGGAAGAUCAAAGCACAGGAGGAGCAGGAAGAGUGACAGUGAGGAUGAUUCGGAGGAGGAGAGAACUAAGGACAAGAAGAAGAAUAGGCGGAAGAAGCACAGAUCCUCAGAUGAGGAUAGCGAGAGUGACUCUGACAGGAAGAGGCACAGGAAGAGUAGGAAAGAUAGGAAGAGGCGGAGGACGCACCGCCAGACGGAUGACUCAUCAGACGAUGAUGAAUCUGGAGGGGAAGGGAGGAGGCAUCACCGCCACCACAAGAGGCGUCAUCACCGGAGGGAUGCAUCUGGUAGUGACAGUGAUGGCAGCGAAUCCCCACAUGAAAGGAAGCCAUCCAGUAAGCAGAAGAGCCACAAGAGGUCAGAAAGCCAUGGAUUGGGUGAGGAUGAGCGACAUUGUCCACAGGGGGCAAGCCGCUCUGGAGAGAAGAGCAGGGAGCAUAAGAGGGGCUAA
RNAcentral lists this ribosomal RNA (1110 nucleotides) under Triticum aestivum (bread wheat). RNAcentral describes it as "partial small subunit ribosomal RNA". Lineage: Eukaryota; Viridiplantae; Streptophyta; Magnoliopsida; Poales; Poaceae. The record is from RNAcentral.